This 202-nucleotide long non-coding RNA is filed under the name Trifolium pratense (red clover). Its description in RNAcentral is "long non-coding RNA (TPRA_LNC001874)". Lineage: Eukaryota; Viridiplantae; Streptophyta; Magnoliopsida; Fabales; Fabaceae. The record is from RNAcentral.
GAACAUGGAUUGUGGAAGCUGACUUCCUGCCAUUAAAAAUAUACCGUUUGUUACAACAACAUAAUGUCAGUCAGAUAGAGGAGAGGACAUCAUCAGCCACAUGGUGGUACAUUGGGAAAGUCAUCAGGUAAGUAAAGAUCAUCGUGGAAAGGAGUCCCUUCGCUCCAAUGAUGACAGCCCUCAUGAGAUCCGUCCUUGAUUC